UGACAGCUGCAGCAAGACCAACAUUGG
RNAcentral lists this non-coding RNA (27 nucleotides) under Mus musculus (house mouse). Lineage: Eukaryota; Metazoa; Chordata; Mammalia; Rodentia; Muridae. The record is from RNAcentral.